Molecule: non-coding RNA, 421 nt
Organism: Arachis ipaensis
Lineage: Eukaryota; Viridiplantae; Streptophyta; Magnoliopsida; Fabales; Fabaceae
Source: RefSeq, a predicted model, not a curated record
GUUAAAUGAAGUGGAUAAUUCUAAAAAUUCAUGUGAUGAAGUUGAUGAAAGUGAAGAGGAGUAUGUGGUUGGCCUUAAUCGAGGCUCUCUUGAUGCUGAGAAAGAUGUGAAGCCUUCGUUGAAGAGGUUGAGAAGAUCCUUGAGGCUGCAAUUUGAUGAAGCUGAUGAGUCUCGUGGCUCGGGGAAUGAUGGCUCCUCUGGACAGGGGGUUAAUUGAGGUGGCUGCCCAUGGUAGUUUGGUUGUGCCCAUGUAAUAGCAUUUGAUGCAUUGGAUUGUAGUAGAUGAGAAUACGUGUGUGUUUUCAUGUUUUGUAUAAGUUGUUUGGAUUGUUUUUUGGGCAUCUUUCUCAUGUAAUAUAUUAAGUGCUAGGGUUUGGACACUAUAUCAUUAGCCACUAGGCAAAUUAGCUAUUUAGCCCUU